CCCCCCCCCCCACUUUGCAUAUGGGACUCCGGGGGCUUGAGGACGGGGACUCUUCUGAGCCUUCGAAUAGGAAUUCGCUGGGUUCGGACAGGUGCGCGCUCUCGACGGCUUCUGGAGCAGCGAUGGCCGUGGUGCAAGCCGCAGGCGGACGUCGACGGGGGCUAAGCUUCGACGGCUGUGGGGCCUUGGACGGCAUUCGUGGCGGCGGCGUGUCCCCCAGGAGGCUGAUUAGGGGCCUCAGGUGUGGGCAGGUCCGGCCUGUCUCGUCCGAGGAGCUGAACUGCGGCCUCUACAUUCUUAGUGGGAGAAAGCGUCAUGAGCCGCUGCUGGUACCCAUUCCGGCCUCGUGUGCUGUCUUUGGGUAUACAAAGGGAUGCCGCACAGCCAGCAGCUCUUCUCAUGGUCCAGAGGGCGGGACCAGAGGGGGUAGUGCAUGCCCUCGGAAGGUCGGCUGGAUGGUUUCUGUGCCAGGCUGCCCUGAGUCUGGCCUCUGUUGGUAUUUUCACCGCCGUCGAGGAAUGAAGUGGACUGCGCCCAGUCUCUCGGACGUCGUCCUCGUAGACACCGCGUGGCAGGUGGCCUACUCCGAGUUAUGGUUAGUGACAUUAUAAUAGUUCAGUGGAAACUACUCUCAAUACUAUCAAGUUCAGCGGAGCGAAUGCUGGAGAGGAGGUCGUCUCGUUUCAAGCGUUUGCUCUGCUCAAGUGGAAGUGGUCCGUCGCAUUCCAGUCACCGACCAUAAUCCCCCUCCGCGGACGGGACUGACCCGUUCAGCGGAAGGUUCGCUACGAUGGGGACAGAUGGACCUUUUCCCGCCAGGCUCGGUAGGGGGUUCUAUCGAUAGAUACCGACUCCAAUACCUUGCCUCGUCCGGUAUGGUCGCCUUUAGGAUUAGAUGCCCUGCGAGGCGGUCCACCAGAAUCCAGGAUGACUGCCUUGGCUGACCAGGGAGGCCGUGGCGUCUACGCUCUGCCACGGUGGGCCCCCUUGCAGUAGGGUUGUCCAUGGGCGGCGCCACGUCGAGCUCCUCCCAGCCGUAGACCCAGAUCCACAUUUCCUGCAGACCGUGAGGCAGCUUCUCCAUGAUGGGAUUCACGUCUCGUGCUGUGUCUAAGUUGCUGAGUUCCGCUCAGUGGGGACCAUCUUUGGCUGCCUCUAGUUUGAGAAGCAGGCCUUCCAGCGCCUGCAACUG
This is a long non-coding RNA of Ixodes scapularis (black-legged tick), 1192 nucleotides long. RefSeq lists it as uncharacterized. The record is from RefSeq and is a predicted model, not a curated record. NCBI's taxonomy places the organism in Eukaryota, Metazoa, Arthropoda, Arachnida, Ixodida, Ixodidae. The transcript is spliced from 2 exons.